AGGAAACCAUGACAUGCUGGCUGGCAGCUUUAUAUUAACGCAAAUAGUUUUGACAAAUGAGUUGUCGUUUAAAAAAGCGACAUGGAAUUUUUUCUUAUAAAAUGCCAGAGAUGAACUCUUGACCGUCCAUCUUAGGGAUUCAUCCACAACCGUCAGAUUGGAAUAUAAAAAAUGUAUCAUUCGGCAAGCUUGGCCUUUUACCACAGGCCAUUUUAGGAGAAACUCUGUGGUCAACUCGUUUUUCCACCGUCCGUCCCAUCGUUGGUGACGUCACCCGUCCUCUCCGAACUACGAUACAAUCACUGCACGCCGCCUUGCAAACUCCACAGAACCACAACAAUCUAGCUUGGCUUCACCUGAAAUUUCUUCGAAAAUUUAGAUCGAAAAACCCAAAACCACAACUUUCUCUCCCCACUCCGUCAAUUUGGCGAAGUGCCCAGGCACCUGAGCGCCGCCGAACGCUUCCCGAACAUCUGGUAGCUUUCCUUCACUUUCCGGCGAGGCUUCGGUGACGAACUUGAAGGUACAGCAGAUUUAAACCAUAUUUUCUUCUCUUUCCGGGGGAAUUGCUGAGAAAUUACUUCUGAGCUGAUUUACGAGGACACUGUCUUUGCUCCGUGAGAAAGGAUCGCUGAAAGAAAAGAAUCUAACAGAAAACAGAUAUUGUUUGGACUGACCAAGGAUUUCUGCUUCCAAUCAUCUUUCCCUCUGCUCCUCCUCAGUUGUGUUCUGUAUAGAAGAUUUAAUGGCCAACAAGUCAAGACCAAAACCUAGCAAAUUAGCUGUCUACCUUUACAUACCCAAUAUUGUUGGUUGGUUUUCUUGUGUUCUACUUUUAUCCCUUUUUUGUUGUAUCAAGUUUGGAAUGUUCACCUCUGUUCUUUUGUAUGCUAAGAAGAGUGGUUUGCAUUUUAUAGGAAUAUUUAAUGUGUGUGCAUGUAUACGUGUGAUAUCUUGCUGCAUGAGUUAAUGUUUACACUUUUUAAUUAUCUAUGGGUGCUAUGCGAAUGCAGGGUACACAAGGGUUCUCAUGAAUUGUUUUGCUUUUGCUAUAUGCUUUUCCAACAAAAGGCUUUUCUGCCUUCUCUAUUUUAUUAGUUUUGUAUGUGAUGGCAUUGAUGGUUGGUGUGCCCGUAAAUUCAAUCAAGUAUCAACUUUUGGAGCUGUUUUGGAUAUGGUAACAGAUAGGAUCAGCACUGCUUGUCUACUAGUAAUGCUUUCCCAAGUAUACAGACCUGGCUUGGUUUUUGUGUCAUUGCUUGCCCUAGAUAUUGCAAGCGAUUGGCUGCAGAUGUACAGGCAAAUCCAGUCACAAAGAUGUGGAAGGCAGCUCUAAUUAGCUUUUCAUGGCUUAUUAUGGAAACCGGAUGUUCAUGGCUUACUGCUGUGCAGCAUGUGAGGUUCUCUAUAUAAUCUUGUUUCUCAUUGCUGAAAAAGAGAUUGAAAAUUUGAUGGAUGUUUUCAUAAAAUCUAUGAAAGAGUGCUCACUUAUCUCUUUCCUACUUGGCUUAAGUUUGUUUGGAUGGGCAAUCAAGCAAAUUGUAAAUAUCAUUCAGAUGAAGACAGCAGCAGAUAUUUGUGUUCUGUAUGACAUUGACGAGAAGGAGAAGGCUUAAUGUGUUCCUCAGUUUUCAAAUUUGUAGGUUUUUUAAAGUAUGUCAAUAGGUUCAAAUACUAAUGAUAUGGAACUUAUUUCAACUUGAGAAACGAUAUUACCUUAAGUAUUUUAUAUCAAUGAUAGAGCGAGAAUGCCUCUUCUGGUCAUUUGGAGCCGAUUAUUAUGUUCAUCUGUGGCGACUCGUUAGAAGCCGUUUCCAGCGAUGUGGCUAGGAUGGUAGGUCGAUCAGCGGAAGGCUCUCCUAGUGUUGUGUAGAGAGUUGACCCCCAGACACCUAUGGAUUAGAAGUGGCAGUACCUCUUCUCAUCGAGAACAAAUGGC
RNAcentral lists this unclassified non-coding RNA (1939 nucleotides) under Hevea brasiliensis (rubber tree). The record is from RNAcentral. Lineage: Eukaryota; Viridiplantae; Streptophyta; Magnoliopsida; Malpighiales; Euphorbiaceae.